Molecule: microRNA, 22 nt
Filed under: Shrimp white spot syndrome virus
Lineage: Naldaviricetes; Nimaviridae
Description: wssv-mir9
Source: RNAcentral
AAGAAACAACAAAUACGGAAUC